This 279-nucleotide ribosomal RNA is filed under the name uncultured bacterium. RNAcentral describes it as "partial 16S ribosomal RNA". It matches the Rfam family "Bacterial small subunit ribosomal RNA", at positions 506 to 784 of the family's 1533-position model. The record is from RNAcentral.
UGCCAGCCGCCGCGGUAAUACGAAGGUGGCAAGCGUUGUUCGGAAUCACUGGGCAUAAAGCGCGCGUAGGCGGCUUGGUCAGUCGGAUGUGAAAGCCCUCAGCUCAACUGAGGAACUGCGUCCGAAACUGCCAGGCUUGAGGUCUGGAGGGGAGAACGGAAUUCCUGGUGGAGCGGUGAAAUGCGUAGAGAUCAGGAGGAACGCCAGCGGCGAAAGCGGUUCUCUGGACAGAUUCUGACGCUGAGGUGCGAAAGCUAGGGGAGCAAACGGGAUUAGAUA